UACAGAGGUCUCAAGCGUUGUUCGGAUUCAUUGGGCGUAAAGAGCGUGUAGGCGGUUAGGUAGGUCCGUUGUGAAAACUCGAGGCUCAACCUCGAGACGCCGAUGGAAACCAUCUAACUAGAGUCCGGAAGAGGAGAGUGGAAUUCCUGGUGUAGCGGUGAAAUGCGCAGAUAUCAGGAAGAACACCCGUGGCUAAGGCGGCUCUCUAGUACGGUACUGACGCUGAGACGCGAAAGCGUGGGGAGCGAACAGG
This 253-nucleotide ribosomal RNA is filed under the name uncultured bacterium. RNAcentral describes it as "partial 16S ribosomal RNA". It matches the Rfam family "Bacterial small subunit ribosomal RNA", at positions 524 to 776 of the family's 1533-position model. The record is from RNAcentral.